UACACUCCCAAACCCAAUGUGAACGUUACCAAACUGUUGCCUCGGCGGGGUCACGCCCCGGGUGCGUAAAAGCCCCGGAACCAGGCGCCCGCCGGAGGAACCAACCAAACUCUUUCUGUAGUCCCCUCGCGGACGUAUUUCUUACAGCUCUGAGCAAAAAUUCAAAAUGAAUCAAAACUUUCAACAACGGAUCUCUUGGUUCUGGCAUCGAUGAAGAACGCAGCGAAAUGCGAUAAGUAAUGUGAAUUGCAGAAUUCAGUGAAUCAUCGAAUCUUUGAACGCACAUUGCGCCCGCCAGUAUUCUGGCGGGCAUGCCUGUCCGAGCGUCAUUUCAACCCUCGAACCCCUCCGGGGGAUCGGCGUUGGGGAUCGGGACCCCUCACCGGGUGCCGGCCCUGAAAUACAGUGGCGGUCUCGCCGCAGCCUCUCCUGCGCAGUAGUUUGCACAACUCGCACCGGGAGCGCGGCGCGUCCACGUCCGUAAAACACCCAACUUCUGAAAUGUUGACCUCGGAUCAGGUAGGAAUACCCGCUGAACUUAAGCAUAUCAAUAGCGGGAGGAAAAGAUACCAACAGGGAUUGCCCCAGUAACGGCGAGUGAAAGCGCAACAGCUCAUAUUUGAAAUCUGGCCCCUCCGGG
RNAcentral lists this ribosomal RNA (640 nucleotides) under Trichoderma hamatum. RNAcentral's name for it is "eukaryotic LSU rRNA". The stretch from base 176 to 329 matches the Rfam family "5.8S ribosomal RNA". Lineage: Eukaryota; Fungi; Ascomycota; Sordariomycetes; Hypocreales; Hypocreaceae. The record is from RNAcentral.